RNAcentral lists this ribosomal RNA (492 nucleotides) under uncultured bacterium. Its description in RNAcentral is "partial 16S ribosomal RNA". It matches the Rfam family "Bacterial small subunit ribosomal RNA", at positions 29 to 507 of the family's 1533-position model. The record is from RNAcentral.
AGUGAACGCUGGCGGUAGGCCUAACACAUGCAAGUCGAACGGCAGCACAGUAAGAGCUUGCUCUUACGGGUGGCGAGUGGCGGACGGGUGAGGAAUACAUCGGAAUCUACUUUUUCGUGGGGGAUAACGUAGGGAAACUUACGCUAAUACCGCAUACGACCUACGGGUGAAAGCAGGGGAUCUUCGGACCUUGCGCGAUUGAAUGAGCCGAUGUCGGAUUAGCUAGUUGGCGGGGUAAAGGCCCACCAAGGCGACGAUCCGUAGCUGGUCUGAGAGGAUGAUCAGCCACACUGGAACUGAGACACGGUCCAGACUCCUACGGGAGGCAGCAGUGGGGAAUAUUGGACAAUGGGCGCAGGCCUGAUCCAGCCAUAACGCGUGGGUGAAGAAGGCCUUCGGGUUGUAAAGCCCUUUUGUUGGGAAAGAAAAGCAGCAGGUUAAUACCCCGCUGUUCUGACGGUACCCAAAGAAUAAGCACCGGCUAACUUCGUG